Molecule: ribosomal RNA, 253 nt
Filed under: uncultured bacterium
Lineage: Bacteria
Description: partial 16S ribosomal RNA
Rfam family: Bacterial small subunit ribosomal RNA
Source: RNAcentral
GACGUAGGGCGCGAGCGUUGUCCGGAUUUAUUGGGCGUAAAGAGCUCGUAGGCGGCUUGUCGCGUCGACUAUGAAAACUUGGGGCUCAACCCCAAGCUUGCAGUCGAUACGGGCAGGCUAGAGUUCGGUAGGGGAGACUGGAAUUCCUGGUGUAGCGGUGAAAUGCGCAGAUAUCAGGAGGAACACCGAUGGCGAAGGCAGGUCUCUGGGCCGAUACUGACGCUGAGGAGCGAAAGCGUGGGGAGCGAACAGG